AAACAUGUCCGAUCUGCCUAUUUCUGCACAUCAAAAGUCAAUACGAUCGUUUUAAAGUCAAUUUCGUCUACCUCACAAAAUCUUGUUAGGCACUAUAGUUGAAUGUGGGUUUCUUAUACUCGAACGGCAAGGUUUUACUAUAAAACAUGUUUACAGUACAGCCUGUGACUUCCUCUUAGUUAUGUCCACCCUCUUGUAUGGUCACCUUUAAAUUGUGACCAUUUAUUGGGGUAUUCAAUCUUGAGAUGCUGGCCAUUUAUUG
This 262-nucleotide long non-coding RNA is filed under the name Mytilus galloprovincialis (Mediterranean mussel). Lineage: Eukaryota; Metazoa; Mollusca; Bivalvia; Mytilida; Mytilidae. The record is from RNAcentral.